RNAcentral lists this ribosomal RNA (704 nucleotides) under Amaranthus viridis (slender amaranth). Its description in RNAcentral is "eukaryotic LSU rRNA". The stretch from base 287 to 440 matches the Rfam family "5.8S ribosomal RNA". The record is from RNAcentral. Lineage: Eukaryota; Viridiplantae; Streptophyta; Magnoliopsida; Caryophyllales; Amaranthaceae.
UUUCCGUAGGUGAACCUGCGGAAGGAUCAUUGUCGAAACCUGCCUAGCAGAUUGACCAGCGAACAUGUUUAUCGUAAGUGGAGCGGGGUGCCCUAGCGAAGCCUUACGGACGAGCUAUUGCCCCCUCCUCCCGACGUUGGGUGGUGCUCCUCUCUGAGGGGUGCUGCUCGAUGCAACAACGAACCCCGGCGCGGUCUGCGCCAAGGAACAUGAACUUGAGCGUGCUCGUCUUGUGCCCGGGUCACCGGCGCAUGGGAGUGGAUGCACCCAAUAUUGAGUAUUAAACGACUCUCGGCAACGGAUAUCUUGGCUCUCGCAUCGAUGAAGAACGUAGCGAAAUGCGAUACUUGGUGUGAAUUGCAGAAUCCCGUGAACCAUCGAGUUUUUGAACGCAAGUUGCGCCCGAAGCCUCUGGCCAGGGCACGUCUGCCUGGGCGUCACGCAUUGCGUCUCCCCCAACCCGCCUAGCUGUGGGAGGGGCGAGGAGGAUGGUCUCCCAUGCCUCACCGGGCGUGGAUGGCCUAAAACAGGAGCCCACGGUUGCGAGCUGCUGCGGCGAUUGGUGGUGUGCAAGAAGGCCUAGCCUAGAAUGCAAUCGCGUCGCACAGUGCGUGGACCUUGUGGCCUUGAGGACCCUAGAGUGUUGCCCGAGGGCGACCAACCACUGCGACCCCAGGUCAGGCGGGACUACCCGCUGAGUUUAA